AUUAAAGAAACUUGAAAAUUAGUAAUAUGAGAAUAGAAUUUCACUCAUUCCAUAAGCAUGAUCUAGUGAAGUCCUAUCUAGCUAUUUGGAGUUGGCUAUGCAGAGCCCACUCUUAGUGACUCAUCUAUAUGAAUCAGGACAAAACACCUGGAAGGAAAAAAAAUCUGGAUCAUGAUGAACCUGAUUUCAAUUUGAUGGGAGAUGUGAACUCUUAAGCACAUCUAAAUGACGACCUCUUUAGUGUUCUAUCGUCUGACAUACCACCAAGCUUUUUUCUUGUUUCAUUUUGAAGUUCUCCCAUAUCCAUCAUGGUAAGUUGGUUUGUCAGAUAAGCCAUGUCUCACAUGGUCAAGAUGGAGCCCUAAUGUGAGGACAGAAAUUGCAGCCUUAGGGUGACGGGAAAAUGAAGAUCCCCAUUUUCAACAAAUCUGAGAAGAAAAUGGCCAGAUGUGUAGUCCAGUACGCAUGGAAGCAAUUUCUGGCACUUCUACAAGUCAAAAGCAUACAUUUCAAUGUUGAGUCAUCCAUGGAUGCUGGCGUAUUUUAGGCAAUAUAAAUGAGUAGUCCAGGUGUAUGAAACUGUCAUUAAGCAGAGACCAAAUUUUCAACUCAUCUCUGUCCAACUUAUACUAACCUGACAGUAUUAAGUUUGCUGAAGCCUCUUCCUCUUGUGGAUGAAGAGUAGUGAGGUAUUGCAAUUUGCUGUGCCUUUGUCUUUGGCAUUUCUAGGGUGUCAUGUUAAAGUUGCUGUUCAUCAGUUGCUUAACAUUGAUAGAAAGCUGUCCUUAGCCUUUGGGAUUGUUUCCUGAUGGAGGGACACAUGCCUUGUUACAAGUUGAGAUUGCUAUGAACCAGGAAUUGCCACCUCUGACAAGUUAAUUAAAAUGAUCUGUGAAGAUCUUGAUUAAUUAGGUUUAAUUCUUUUCAAGGGGGAAUACAUGCUGAAUUAACAAAGGCAAUUCACAUCUUAAAAGUAAUUGCUUUGUUAUUAAAAUAAUGGUAAUAGAAUCGCUCUUUGCUGACCCUUUAAUUGUGGCUAUAUUGCUUCUGCCAAUUCCAUCCU
This 1063-nucleotide unclassified non-coding RNA is filed under the name Hevea brasiliensis (rubber tree). Lineage: Eukaryota; Viridiplantae; Streptophyta; Magnoliopsida; Malpighiales; Euphorbiaceae. The record is from RNAcentral.